Eriocheir sinensis (Chinese mitten crab) is the source of this 5270-nucleotide RNA transcript. RefSeq lists it as uncharacterized. NCBI's taxonomy places the organism in Eukaryota, Metazoa, Arthropoda, Malacostraca, Decapoda, Varunidae. The record is from RefSeq and is a predicted model, not a curated record. The transcript is spliced from 4 exons.
CCAACUUUCCCGUCCAACAAGUGAUCUGUAGACUUCAUGAGGAAAUGAAUGCUCUUUUGUCAACAGAACCCAAAAAGCAUGUAGAUGUAGAGGUACCCAAGCACAUGCAUAAUAAUGGACCAUUGCCAGGAUCUGAUGAUAAUUUUUCUCAGUUCAAGAAGGUCACUUACAAGAAACUCCAGUUCUCAAUAGAUUCUGGAGAUAACUGUGUGAAGGUUGGGUCAAAUAUAGGUCUGAUAAAGAACAUUUUGGUUAGAAAGGAUGGAGGUGAAGUGAUGGUACUCUUUGAAUCUUUUAGUAAUAUAUCCACCUUCUUUACAAGCCCACUAAGUUCAUCAGAUUUGGGUGUUUACAAGGUAUCACAUCUUAGAGGAAGGCUUGAUAUUAUUCCACUGUCAGAAAUAAUGUGCAAAUAUGUAAUGCUGCCUUAUAAGAAUGAUUUCUUUGUUGUAAUUCCAGUGAUUCACCAGUUUAAUAGACCAUGAGUGAUGCAGAAGUUGGGGCUAUGGUACUGGAUGUGUUAGUGUCUGCUUUUUUCUUUAUUUACUUAGGGUUGCAUUUUGCUUUAAAGACACUUUCGUGGUUUUGUCUUGUUUUUUCCAACAGAUGGGUGAAAUAUUUGUUUUGGUGGAAUUCCUUAAGACAAAUGAUGUGGCUGUAAUCCCUUCAUCAUGGCUAGUUAGCAAAGACAAAGCACUGUGGCCUCCAUACCUUUCCUCAACACGAAUAAACAAUGCUGUCCGCAACAGAGAUUCACCAUGUACAGAAUGGACGAAGUAUUCUGUUAAAAUCAUGUAUGAAUCAGGUACAGUAUAUAUACAUUUUUUGUUUCACAAAGGUUUUGCUAUAUUUUAUUCAGAGAUUGCUAAGAAUAGGAGUAGUUACAGUAACUGGAAUUACAUAAUUCCAGUUAUGUACUUCAUUUUCUGCUACUCUUACUAGCCAUUUCUGGACUCAUUUAAUAUUAUCAGUCAUACUUCACAGAACACUGCGGCAUCCAGUCCACCCACUGUUGGUUCAUCACCUGGGACCUGUGUGUGUCCUUGUCUGUUGUGUUCGUCAUCUGGGAUGUCUGUGGUUGUUUGUGUCUGUUGUGUCUAAUUGUGCCUUUGUUGUGAGUACCCUGUUGUGUUGUAUUCACUUAUUUCAACACGUAUCUGUGUCUUUUUCACUUCUUUCAUUACAUACUUUUUAGGAAAAUUAGAAAUAAACAAAUUACCUAUGAAUAUAGUAUGUGCUUAAUUCUUUCAUUGUGGCAGAUUUCUCAAAAACUUCAUGAACUAACCUGGUACUAGCAUAAGGCAAGUAAAAGGAAUGAUCCUGUAUGGUAACCAAUGAUAAUAAAUGAGUAAUAUUUACUAAAUUUAUCCACAGAUACAUAUGAGAGAGCAAGAGCAAAGUUGUCAACCGCUAUGUAUCAUUCUGACCUACUGACGGAGGAUUCUGAGGAUGAUAUCAUUAGCCGUUGUUCAAAAAGGAAGAGGAGGUGGAUCUCCCAGCAGAUACACUGACCAUGAAAGUUCUGAAGAGGACUGCUUUAGUUCAAGGGCUAAGACAAAAGCUUCCAGCAGUAUCAGGGAUGUGGAGGUAAAAUCCAAAGACCAGAUUGCAAGACCAGUUCCACCUAGGCCAUCUGUACCGAGCUGUAUUGUGUCACAGCCACAGCUACCACCACCUGAGAGUCUGGAUGUAAAUGCCCGAGAUGCAAGAAUCUUUAUGGUGUUGGAAGAACUACGUGCUAUACUGCAUUCCCACUCCACCAAGCUGAAUACUCUCCUCAGACACCACAGUGUGCAAGAACAAGAUCAAGCAGUACCAGAGGGCAUUCACUUCCCUGUGAAGGAUAUGAAUGAAAUGGAAGCCCUAGAAAGCAAACUGAUGGAUCCUGACCUAGAGAAGAAAGUUAUUGCAAGUCUGUAUGUAAUAGGUGGAUCAGGUCUUCCAGACACAGUGAGGCGCAUUCUGCGAUACACUGUGAGCAACUCCUUGGCCAUCCACUUCAAUUGGUGUGGCAAAGGAAUGAAACGGAGCUUUUGCACAAUGAAGCUGAAGGAUACAAUAAUUAGUAAGUGGCUUAUGAUGCAGUCACAGGCUAACAGUUAUCUCACCUAGAACAAGUAAACAAUGAAAGGGUCCAUUGGUAUACAAGACUGUAAUGUAAUGUGUUGUAUUGUUUAUCUUCAUUUGGGUUACUACGUGACCAGACACAAAUCCCUAAGGUAAAAGCAAUGGCUAGAACUACCCUACAUAUCCUUGUCUGCCAAGUGUGAUGGGAGAAAAUGUGUUUCCAUGCAGUUACAAAUAUGCAGUAAUGCUUAGUAUACAUUCCUAUAGUAUUUUUUUUCUGUGCUAUGCAUAGACUUAGUAAAUUUGCUUGCUUUGAUAUUCAGUCAUAUUCUUAAUUAACUCAUCCACAUAAAUUUUUUCUGCAUUGUAUUUCCAGUCUAAAACAGAAUAUUAGGCAAAACAGUGUUACACCUAGUAUACUCCAGAUGUUCAGAUUAGUACACAUCACUUAACUCAUGUGGUGCUUGAUUGAAUAGUCGAGAAUUUAAUUGUUUCUAUUGGAUAAUCUGCUUUUGACAUCUAUUCAUGUAUUUUAAUUUUGACUGUACAUUAAAGUUUUGUGACUACAAUACUAGCUUACCAUGUAGCUAUCAACUUUUAACCACUACCCCAUAUGAAUUGAGUUACUCAUGUCUAACUACUUACAUUUCAGAUUUGAGUAUAUUGAAGUUUACUGAGUUAAAGGCAGAUUUCCUAUUGACAGAAAGUGUCCGCAAGAAUGCAGAGCACAAGAGUGCAACAGCUGCCUCAAUUGAAAAAGUAAUGAAGGAGUGGUUUCGAACAGCCAGAGUUCGAGAUGGAGGCCGUCGGAGGAGAGAUGUAAGAACUUGUGAGAGCAGUGAUACUGCCUAGACUUUCUGGCAUUGCAUAUUCAAAGUUCUCUCUCUCUUGCUCUCUCUUUGUGCAUUAAUGCAUCAUAAAAUACUCAGUUUACUGGUACCAUUCCAGGCUUUCAUGCCACAGUGACACCACACAUUCCAGUCUCCCUCCAUGUAUCCUGAAGCUCUCAUCCCACUUCUCCAUUCACCUUAACAUGCACCUGUAUCCCUUUGAUGUGCUUUCACACCUCUUAAUGAUCUACCUGCUCCAUAUGCACACCUCCCGUCACAUUCCACAUAGCCCACAGUCAGUCCUGUUAGAUGCAUUUUCCUCAUUUAUAAAUGCCUGUACCUUAAUUUCAUUCUUUUGGCUGUAAUGUUUCAUCUGUACAUUAGUAGUUAAUUGAAAUGUUGUGGACAGCAUUGCUGUAAUGGAAGCCACUUUUAUUUUUUUUAUUUUUUUUUUAUUUUAUUUUCUUUUUUUUUCUGUAGGAUGUAGGGAUAGGAUUAUUAUGAUAUUAAUUAUGUAAAUACAGUCAUCCCCCGCCGUUCGCGGGUAUUUCGUUCCCGGACUUCGGCGCGAUGCGCGAAACCGCGAACGGCGGGACUAUAACCCUAUGGGAAAAUAUGCAUUUGGGGAAGUCACCUCUGACACGUCAUAUAAAACAUGUUUUUUUCGUUCUUUUUAAUGACUGAAAUGAGACAAGACCUUGUUAGACAACAAUAUGUAAUCAACACUCACCCUGGGGUCAAAAUUUAGUAGCACAGAAGACCCAAAAGUAGCCCAAUUUGCGAUAAGUAGCCCAAUCUGGCAACACUGCAGUGUGGCGGCGCGAAUUUUUUUUUUUAGGAUAAUGUUGCUAUGAGAAAAUCUCGACCAAUAGCAGUCGUCCCUGAGUGAGCUGCUGGCCAAUAGGAAAGCAUGACGUCACAGUCUAACCGUGACGUCACUCAGGAGCAACCUAACGUCCAUUGCCCCGCCUCCCUCCUCUCUCCCUUCCCCCCUCCUCUCUGCCUUCCUCCCUCCUCUCUCCCUUCCCCCCUCCUCUCUGCCUCCCUCCCUCCUCUCUGCCUCCAUCCCUCCCUCCCUCCUCUCUGCCUUCCUCCCUCCUCUCUCCCUUCCCCCCUCCUCUCUGCCUCCCUCCCUCCCUCCUCUCUGCCUUCCUCCCUCCUCUCUCCCUUCCCCCCUCCUCUCUGCCUCCCUCCCUCCCUCCUUUCUGCCUUCCUCCCUCCUCUCUCCCUUCCCCCCUCCUCUCUGCCUCCCUCCCUCCCUCCUCUCUGCCUCCCUCCCUCCCUCCUCUCUGCCUUCCUCCCUCCUCUCUCCCUUCCCCCCUCCUCUCUGCCUCCCUCCCUCCUCUCUGCCUUCCUCCCUCCUCUCUCCCUUCCCCCCUCCUCUCUGCCUCCCUCCCUCCUCUCUGCCUUCCUAUUUAGCGUCAGUGCAUCCGCGUGUACGCGAAACUGGGGCCGCGUAUAAGCGGGGGGGGGUCACAAUUAGUUGACCGCGGAUACGCGAAACCGCGAUGGGUGAGACCGCGAACGGCGGGGGGUGACUGUACUCAGUUUAGGAAUAGAGCUCAGGAUAGCUAAUGGUAAUUUUGUACUUAACACUGAUGCAAAGAUUAGGCAUUUGUUAUUGCUUGUUUCAAGGGUGCUCGCAGUGUUUUCAUGUUGCUGACUAAUGAUUAAUACUUGUGGUGCUGAGAAUUAUAUUGGUGAAAGAAUACUAAUUGUUCAGUUCUUAAAGAAAUCUUUUUUUGUAGCUACACACAAUGUAUUACCAAAGUGUGUGUGUGUGUGCGUGUGUGUUUUAGCUGUUCAGUAUUAAAUUGUUUUAAGUUCUCUGACAGUUGAUUCAUAAACUAUACUUUAAACAGAGUUAAUCAUUGGUAAGAUUUAAAGUAAAGAUGUGAAAGACUAUAUCCUCAGGCUGAAAAUAGUAAAUACAUAAGUAAUAUCAGGUGCUAUCACUAAGGCAUAAAGAGUAAGAAUGCGUACCAUCAUAUUGUUGUAGUUGUAAGGAAUGAUGACAAGGGCCAGGAAUCCCUCCCCUUAUUAUUAUUAUUUUUAUUAUUAUUAUUUUUUUUUUUUAACAAAAAAUAUUGAUUGAUUUACUUUUUAGGAGAAUUAUCUUAUUUCAUUUUCCACUGUCUUGCUUGGAAAUUACCUUGCUGAACAGGAUAAAUUAAGUUCCUUGAAAAGUCUUAAAUGUUGUGAUUUUAGAUUAUUUUUCUUUAGUUUCUAAGGUAAAAUUACAGCUAUACAACUGUUAAAUCUGGUAAUGAUAAAGUAUAAGUGUCUUCUCUUGCUUACUAAUGGCAUCAACCCAAUUGUAAACCCUAUUGUGAUAGCUGAAGAUCUUGUCAAAAUAAACUUAAGUCCACUGAA